This 372-nucleotide ribosomal RNA is filed under the name uncultured bacterium. RNAcentral's name for it is "bacterial SSU rRNA". It matches the Rfam family "Bacterial small subunit ribosomal RNA", at positions 524 to 898 of the family's 1533-position model. The record is from RNAcentral.
UACGGAGGAUGCGAGCGUUAUCCGGAUUUAUUGGGUUUAAAGGGUGCGUAGGCCGGCCGAUAAGUCAGCGGUGAAAUACCAUGGCCCAACCAUGGAACUGCCGUUGAUACUGUCGGUCUUGAAUAUGGUCAAGGUAGGCGGAAUGUGUAAUGUAGCGGUGAAAUGCUUAGAUAUUACACAGAACACCGAUUGCGAAGGCAGCUUACUGGUCCAUUAUUGACGCUGAGGCACGAAAGCGUGGGGAUCGAACAGGAUUAGAUACCCUGGUAGUCCACGCCGUAAACGAUGAUCACUCGCUGUUGGCGAUACACAGUCAGCGGCUAAGCGAAAGCAUUAAGUGAUCCACCUGGGGAGUACGGCCGCAAGGCUGAA